UACGUAGGGUGCAAGCGUUAAUCGGAAUUACUGGGCGUAAAGCGUGCGCAGGCGGUUUUGUAAGUCUGUCGUGAAAUCCCCGGGCUCAACCUGGGAAUGGCGAUGGAGACUGCAAGGCUAGAGUUUGGCAGAGGGGGGUAGAAUUCCACGUGUAGCAGUGAAAUGCGUAGAUAUGUGGAGGAACACCGAUGGCGAAGGCAGCCCCCUGGGUCAAAACUGACGCUCAUGACACGAAAGCGUGGGGAGCAACAGG
RNAcentral lists this ribosomal RNA (253 nucleotides) under uncultured bacterium. RNAcentral's name for it is "partial 16S ribosomal RNA". It matches the Rfam family "Bacterial small subunit ribosomal RNA", at positions 524 to 775 of the family's 1533-position model. The record is from RNAcentral.